GAUGAACGCUGGCGGCGUGCUUAACACAUGCAAGUCGAACGGAAAGGCCCAAGCUUGCUUGGGUACUCGAGUGGCGAACGGGUGAGUAACACGUGGGUGAUCUGCCCUGCACUUCGGGAUAAGCCUGGGAAACUGGGUCUAAUACCGGAUAGGACCACUUCUUGGAUGUUGUGGUGGAAAGUUUUUUCGGUGUGGGAUGAGCUCGCGGCCUAUCAGCUUGUUGGUGGGGUAAUGGCCUACCAAGGCGUCGACGGGUAGCCGGCCUGAGAGGGUGUACGGCCACAUUGGGACUGAGAUACGGCCCAGACUCCUACGGGAGGCAGCAGUGGGGAAUAAUGCACAAUGGGCGCAAGCCUGAUGCAGCGACGCCGCGUGGGGGAUGACGGCCUUCGGGUUGUAAACUCCUUUCGCUAGGGACGAAGCGUUUUGUGACGGUACCUGGAGAAGAAGCACCGGCUAACUACGUG
This 467-nucleotide ribosomal RNA is filed under the name uncultured bacterium. Its description in RNAcentral is "partial 16S ribosomal RNA". It matches the Rfam family "Bacterial small subunit ribosomal RNA", at positions 28 to 507 of the family's 1533-position model. The record is from RNAcentral.